GAACUUUCCAGAGAUGGAUUGGUGCCUUCGGGAACUGUGAGACAGGUGCUGCAUGGCUGUCGUCAGCUCGUGUUGUGAAAUGUUGGGUUAAGUCCCGCAACGAGCGCAACCCUUAUCCUUUGUUGCCAGCGGUCCGGCCGGGAACUCAAAGGAGACUGCCAGUGAUAAACUGGAGGAAGGUGGGGAUGACGUCAAGUCAUCAUGGCCCUUACGACCAGGGCUACACACGUGCUACAAUGGCGCAUACAAAGAGAAGCGACCUCGCGAGAGCAAGCGGACCUCAUAAAGUGCGUCGUAGUCCGGAUUGGAGUCUGCAACUCGACUCCAUGAAGUCGGAAUCGCUAGUAAUCGUGGAUCAGAAUGCCACGGUGAAUACGUUCCCGGGCCUUGUACACACCGCCCGUCACACCAUGGGAGUGAGUUGCAAAAGAAGUAGGUAGCUUAACCUUCGGGAGGGCGCUUACCACUUUGUGAUUCAUGACUGGGGUGAAGUCGUAACAAGGUAACCGUAGGGGAACCUGCGGUUGGAUCACCUCCUUACCUUAAAGAA
RNAcentral lists this ribosomal RNA (550 nucleotides) under Escherichia coli. RNAcentral's name for it is "bacterial SSU rRNA". It matches the Rfam family "Bacterial small subunit ribosomal RNA", at positions 993 to 1533 of the family's 1533-position model. Lineage: Bacteria; Pseudomonadati; Pseudomonadota; Gammaproteobacteria; Enterobacterales; Enterobacteriaceae. The record is from RNAcentral.